UGCUUACACAUGCAAGUCGGACGAAGGCUUCGGCCUUAGUGGCGGACGGGUGAGUAAUGCAUAGGAAUCUGCCUGGUAGUGGGGGAUAACGUAGGGAAACUUACGCUAAUACCGCAUACGCCCCACGGGGGAAAGCGGGGGACCUUCGGGCCUCGCGCUAUCGGAUGAGCCUAUGUCGGAUUAGCUGGUUGGUGGGGUAAAGGCCCACCAAGGCGACGAUCCGUAGCUGGUCUGAGAGGAUGAUCAGCCACACUGGGACUGAGACACGGCCCAGACUCCUACGGGAGGCAGCAGUGGGGAAUAUUGGACAAUGGGCGCAAGCCUGAUCCAGCAAUACCGCGUGUGUGAAGAAGGCCUGAGGGUUGUAAAGCACUUUCAGUGGGGAGGAACAGCCCGGGGCCAAUACCCCUGGGAAUGACAUUACCCACAGAAGAAGCACCGGCUAACUCCGUGCCAGCAGCCGCGGUAAUACGGAGGGUGCGAGCGUUAAUCGGAAUAACUGGGCGUAAAGCGCACGCAGGCGGUUUGCUAAGCUAGAUGUGAAAGCCCCGGGCUCAACCUGGGAACUGCAUUUAGAACUGGCGAACUAGAGUCUUGUAGAGGGGGGUAGAAUUCCAGGUGUAGCGGUGAAAUGCGUAGAGAUCUGGAGGAAUACCGGUGGCGAAGGCGGNCCCCUGGACAGAGACUGACGCUCAGGUGCGAAAGCGUGGGGAGCAAA
Molecule: ribosomal RNA, 718 nt
Filed under: uncultured Pseudomonadota bacterium
Lineage: Bacteria; Pseudomonadati; Pseudomonadota
Description: bacterial SSU rRNA
Rfam family: Bacterial small subunit ribosomal RNA
Source: RNAcentral